Molecule: ribosomal RNA, 352 nt
Filed under: uncultured Racocetra
Lineage: Eukaryota; Fungi; Glomeromycota; Glomeromycetes; Diversisporales; Gigasporaceae
Description: SSU rRNA
Rfam family: Eukaryotic small subunit ribosomal RNA
Source: RNAcentral
AGCAGCCGCGGUAAUUCCAGCUCCAAUAGCGUAUAUUAAAGUUGUUGCAGUUAAAAAGCUCGUAGUUGAAUUUCGGGGUUCUACCGUUGGUCGGGCUUUGUCUGUACUGGCGUGUAGAAUUUCUACCUUCUGGGGAACUAUCAUGUUAUUAAUUUAGCGCGGUAGGAAACCAGGACCUUUACCUUGAAAAAAUUAGAGUGUUCAAAGCAGGCUUAUGUCUGAAUACAUUAGCAUGGAAUAAUAGAAUAGGACGGUGGUCCUGUUUUGUUGGUUUCUGAAUCACCGUAAUGAUUAAUAGGGAUAGUUGGGGGCAUUAGUAUUCAAUUGUCAGAGGUGAAAUUCUUGGAUUUAU